UACGGGGGGGGCGAGCGUUGUUCGGAAUUACUGGGCGUAAAGGGUUUGUAGGUGGCCUGCUAAGUCAGACGUGAAAUCCCUCAGCUUAACUGGGGAACUGCAUUCGAUACUGGCGUGCUUGAGGACUGGAGAGGAGACUGGAAUUCAUGGUGUAGCAGUGAAAUGCGUAGAGAUCAUGAGGAAGACCAGUGGCGAAGGCGGGUCUCUGGACAGUUCCUGACACUGAGACACGAAGGCCAGGGGAGCAAACGGG
RNAcentral lists this ribosomal RNA (253 nucleotides) under uncultured bacterium. RNAcentral describes it as "partial 16S ribosomal RNA". It matches the Rfam family "Bacterial small subunit ribosomal RNA", at positions 524 to 776 of the family's 1533-position model. The record is from RNAcentral.